UGGGGAAUAUUGGACAAUGGGCGAAAGCCUGAUCCAGCCAUGCCGCGUGAGUGAUGAAGGCCCUAGGGUUGUAAAGCUCUUUCAGUGGGGAAGAUAAUGACGGUACCCACACAAGAAGCCCCGGCUAACUUCGUGCCAGCAGCCGCGGUAAUACGAAGGGGGCUAGCGUUGUUCGGAAUUACUGGGCGUAAAGCGCACGUAGGCGGAUUGUUAAGUGAGGGGUGAAAUCCCAGGGCUCAACCCUGGAACUGCCUUUCAUACUGGCAAUCUGGAGUUCGAGAGAGGUGAGUGGAAUUCCGAGUGUAGAGGUGAAAUUCGUAGAUAUUCGGAGGAACACCAGUGGCGAAGGCGGCUCACUGGCUCGAUACUGACGCUGAGGUGCGAAAGCGUGGGGAGCAAACAGGAUUAGAUACCCCCGUAGUCC
RNAcentral lists this ribosomal RNA (424 nucleotides) under uncultured prokaryote. Its description in RNAcentral is "bacterial SSU rRNA". It matches the Rfam family "Bacterial small subunit ribosomal RNA", at positions 355 to 796 of the family's 1533-position model. The record is from RNAcentral.